This 230-nucleotide ribosomal RNA is filed under the name uncultured bacterium. Its description in RNAcentral is "partial 16S ribosomal RNA". It matches the Rfam family "Bacterial small subunit ribosomal RNA", at positions 562 to 791 of the family's 1533-position model. The record is from RNAcentral.
AAAGCGUGCGCAGGCGGCUUUGCAAGACAGAUGUGAAAUCCCCGGGCUCAACCUGGGAACUGCAUUUGUGACUGCAAGGCUAGAGUACGGCAGAGGGGGAUGGAAUUCCGCGUGUAGCAGUGAAAUGCGUAGAUAUGCGGAGGAACACCAAUGGCGAAGGCAAUCCCCUGGGCCUGUACUGACGCUCAUGCACGAAAGCGUGGGGAGCAAACAGGAUUAGAUACCCCAGU